UGCAAUGCAAACAACUCCAGUGAUUAUUGAGAGUAGCGGACGAGCGAGCAGCGGUGCCUAUUUUGCGGUCGAAGACCAAAUAUUCGAUUUUAGCAUUCAGAUCCUUCCGAAUUUUACAAACUGCUACUUUGGCCCGAAGCUCAUAUGUAUGGCCAACUGCGCUAAAAAUCCUCCUCCAGGGCUAUGAAUACUACCAUUUUAU
Molecule: long non-coding RNA, 202 nt
Filed under: Nicotiana benthamiana
Lineage: Eukaryota; Viridiplantae; Streptophyta; Magnoliopsida; Solanales; Solanaceae
Description: long non-coding RNA (NBEN_LNC002389)
Source: RNAcentral